RNAcentral lists this ribosomal RNA (396 nucleotides) under uncultured bacterium. RNAcentral's name for it is "partial 16S ribosomal RNA". It matches the Rfam family "Bacterial small subunit ribosomal RNA", at positions 523 to 917 of the family's 1533-position model. The record is from RNAcentral.
AUACGUAGGUGACAAGCGUUAUCCGGAUUUACUGGGUGUAAAGGGCGUGUAGGCGGUUUAGCAAGUCAGAAGUGAAAUUCCCGGGCUUAACUUGGGCGCUGCUUCUGAAACUGCUUUACUUGAGUGCUGGAGAGGAUAGUGGAAUUCCUAGUGUAGCGGUAAAAUGCGCAGAUAUUAGGAGGAACACCGGUGGCGAAGGCGGCUAUCUGGACAGUAACUGACGCUGAGGCGCAAAAGCACGGGGAGCAAACAGGAUUAGAUACCCUGGUAGUCCACACUGUAAACGAUGAAUGCUAGGUGUAGGGGGUAUCGACCCCUUCUGUGCCGCAGUCAACACAAUAAGCAUUCCGCCUGGGGAGUACGGCCGCAAGGUUGAAACUUAAAGGAAUUGACGGG